Molecule: transfer RNA, 94 nt
Filed under: Aaosphaeria arxii CBS 175.79
Lineage: Eukaryota; Fungi; Ascomycota; Dothideomycetes; Pleosporales
Description: tRNA-Asp
Rfam family: tRNA
About the family: Transfer RNA (tRNA) molecules are approximately 80 nucleotides in length. Their secondary structure includes four short double-helical elements and three loops (D, anti-codon, and T loops).
Source: RNAcentral
UCUUCGAUGGUCUAGUGGUCAUGAUUUCCGCUUGUCAGAUUCCUCUUGGAAUUAACAAGCGCGGGAGACCGGGGUUCGAUUCCCCGUCGGAGAG